This 711-nucleotide ribosomal RNA is filed under the name uncultured Spiroplasma sp. RNAcentral describes it as "bacterial SSU rRNA". It matches the Rfam family "Bacterial small subunit ribosomal RNA", at positions 9 to 719 of the family's 1533-position model. Lineage: Bacteria; Bacillati; Mycoplasmatota; Mollicutes; Entomoplasmatales; Spiroplasmataceae. The record is from RNAcentral.
GAGUUUGAUCAUGGCUCAGGAUUAACGCUGGCGGCAUGCCUAAUACAUGCAAGUCGAACGGAGUAGCAAUACUUAGUGGCGAACGGGUGAGUAACACGUAUCUAAUCUACCAUUUAGUGGGGAAUAACUGUUGGAAACGACAGCUAAUACCGCAUAAUAUUGCUGGAUAAUUUCCAGUAAUGAAAGGAGCUUUCAAGCUCCGCUGAUUGAUGAGGAUGCGGCGCAUUAGCUAGUUGGUAGGGUAAUGGCCUACCAAGGCAAUGAUGCGUAGCCGAUCUGAGAGGAUGAACGGCCACAUUGGGACUGAGACACGGCCCAAACUUCUACGGAAGGCAGCAGUAGGGAAUUUUUCACAAUGGGCGAAAGCCUGAUGGAGCGAUGCCGCGUGACUGAUGAAGGUCUUCGGAUUGUAAAGGUCUGUUGUAAGGGAAGAAAUGGUAAAACAGGAAAUGGUUUUAUCUAUGACGGUACCUUACCAGAAAGCCACGGCUAACUAUGUGCCAGCAGCCGCGGUAAUACAUAGGUGGCAAGCGUUAUCCGGAUUUAUUGGGCGUAAAGGGUGCGUAGGCGGUUUUGCAAGUCUGAGGUUAAAUUUAGGAGCUCAACUCCUAAUCGCCUUGGAAACUACAAGACUAGAGUAUAGGAGAGGUAAGUGGAAUUCCAUGUGUAGCGGUGGAAUGUGUAGAUAUAUGGAGGAACACCAGUGGCGAA